This 483-nucleotide ribosomal RNA is filed under the name uncultured bacterium. RNAcentral describes it as "bacterial SSU rRNA". It matches the Rfam family "Bacterial small subunit ribosomal RNA", at positions 305 to 806 of the family's 1533-position model. The record is from RNAcentral.
CGGCCACAUUGGAACUGAGACACGGUCCAAACUCCUACGGGAGGCAGCAGUGGGGAAUAUUGCACAAUGGGCGAAAGCCUGAUGCAGCAACGCCGCGUGAGUGAUGAAGGCCUUCGGGUCGUAAAACUCUGUCCUCAAGGAAGAUAAUGACGGUACUUGAGGAGGAAGCCCCGGCUAACUACGUGCCAGCAGCCGCGGUAAUACGUAGGGGGCUAGCGUUAUCCGGAUUUACUGGGCGUAAAGGGUGCGUAGGCGGUCUUUCAAGUCAGGAGUGAAAGGCUACGGCUCAACCGUAGUAAGCUCUUGAAACUGGGAGACUUGAGUGCAGGAGAGGAGAGUGGAAUUCCUAGUGUAGCGGUGAAAUGCGUAGAUAUUAGGAGGAACACCAGUUGCGGAGGCGGCUCUCUGGACUGUAACUGACGCUGAGGCACGAAAGCGUGGGGAGCAAACAGGAUUAGAUACCCUGGUAGUCCACGCUGUAAA